AUGCAUAGUAUAUCCAAAACUGUCCACAUUAUUUUGUCAUUCUGAGUAUACAUAUGAUAUGACAAGCAUACACAUGCAUACUUUUUAGGAAAAAUGUUAAUUUUACCUCUAUUCCACAGGAUAUUCUGAAAGGGCAGUUUUUGGAGAGACUUUUGAACAAACUGCAAUCUGCAAUAAGUCAGCAACCACUUAAAGGAUUAGUCCACUUUCAAAUAAACUUUUCCUGAUAAUUUACUCACCCCCAUGUCAUCCAAGAUGUUCAUGUCUUUCUUUCUUCAGUCGAAAAGAAAUUAAGGUUUUUGAUGAAAACAUUCCAGGAUUAUUCUCCUUUUUACAGCCUUUUACAGCCCACGUGAUCAAAUAGUUGCGUGCGCAUUUUGGCAACGGAAGUGGUGUUGUUCCCCAGUGGUUCUAACGUGUUAGCAACUCCGAAAGUUUACGGUUGCACUAAUCGAUAUUCCACCAAUGGGCUUAAGUUUUAUAGGAUUCCGACAGGAUCAUGGCCGUUUCAGAAGAAUCGGCGGCGCCUGUGGCUGCAGGCGAUUAAACGUGUUGAUUGGAGCGAGGACAUGACAAAAAUAAAAAUAGAUUUGGCUAGUAAACAAACGUGUGUGUGUUUUAUUUGUUUUAUUUGCAGGUGAGGCGUCAUUGGACUCUAGUAGUCCUGAUUUUGUGCCUACUGUGUUUGUGUACACAAAACAGAGCCAGAACCCUGAAGCAAAGUUGGAGAGGUACCAUAGGAAAAGAAGGAGAGAUGACAGACCUAUCAUGGCAGCAAAUCUAUGUGUUCCUUCUAAAACUCCGAAACAAGAAUGCAGCAUGGAUCAUUGUCCAGAUGUUAAAGCUGCUGGAAGCUGCCUGUCUAGCCUCUUUGGUUUGUGGAAGCUGAUUUCCCUCAAUGGAGCUGGUCUGACUUCUUUCCUGCUGAUGUCUUUCCACAUGCACACUCCAGAUGUAACUGCUGCUUUCUCAGUCCUUCCCAUCCUAACAUAGAGCUCAACUUUGAAUAAUAUUGCAGCUGCAUGACUGCAGCAUGACCCAAGCCUGAAAUUUCACGAAAACAUAAUAAACUUACUGGCUGAUCAAUAAUGUUAUGACCAGGGCUUGAAAGUAACAUUUGCUUUCAGGCCAAAUUUCGUCUCGGACUAUGAAGUAGGUAAACAUGACCUAUGUUAGCUACAAGCCCACAACACCAAAUAAUACCCUACUUACCCCGCCA
Ctenopharyngodon idella (grass carp) is the source of this 1219-nucleotide long non-coding RNA. RefSeq lists it as uncharacterized. The transcript has 3 exons. NCBI's taxonomy places the organism in Eukaryota, Metazoa, Chordata, Actinopteri, Cypriniformes, Xenocyprididae. The record is from RefSeq and is a predicted model, not a curated record.